This is a long non-coding RNA of Mastomys coucha (southern multimammate mouse), 375 nucleotides long. RefSeq lists it as uncharacterized. Lineage: Eukaryota; Metazoa; Chordata; Mammalia; Rodentia; Muridae. The transcript has 3 exons. The record is from RefSeq and is a predicted model, not a curated record.
CCUCGGCCAUUAAGUACUCCCAAGCUUAGCCAAUCCCAAUGGACCACGUGGCAAAAGGAAUAGGUCACCAAAUGUGGAAGCAACCAAUGGAAGCAAGCUUAGCCAAAUGAGGGCUUGUUUAUGAGACUGCUUGCUCUUGGAUCGGCUCUCCACAGACAUAUAAAUACUAAAGGAAGAAGGAAUGAAACAUCCAUGAACAAAUGUGUAAAUGUUCAGGCAAGUAAGCUAAUUGAGAAGAAGUCAUGAACGUGCAUGGAUCUGUACCGAGGCAUAGAAGUUGUUAAAAAUGGAAAUAGCAUACAAGCGAGCUAGAGAACCUCUGUUCAACUGGCCUCAAAUAUUUACUGAUAAUAAAGCCAGGAGAAAGUUGCUAAA